This 508-nucleotide ribosomal RNA is filed under the name uncultured bacterium. RNAcentral describes it as "partial 16S ribosomal RNA". It matches the Rfam family "Bacterial small subunit ribosomal RNA", at positions 28 to 507 of the family's 1533-position model. The record is from RNAcentral.
GACGAACGCUGGCGGCGUGCCUAAUACAUGCAAGUCGAACGCUUCUUUCCUCCCGAGUGCUUGCCCUCAAUUGGAAAGAGGGGUGGCGGACGGGUGAGUAACACGUGGGUAACCUACCCAUCAGAGGGGGAUAACACUUGGAAACAGGUGCUAAUACCGAAUAACAGUUUAUGCCGCAUGGCAUAAGAGUGAAAGGCGCUUUCGGGUGUCGCUGAUGGAUGGACCCGCGGUGCAUUAGCUAGUUGGUGAGGUAACGGCUCACCAAGGCCACGAUGCAUAGCCGACCUGAGAGGGUGAUCGGCCACGCUGGGACUGAGACACGGCCCAGACUCCUACGGGAGGCAGCAGUAGGGAAUCUUCGGCAAUGGACGAAAGUCUGACCGAGCAACGCCGCGUGAGUGAAGAAGGUUUUCGGAUCGUAAAACUCUGUUGUUAGAGAAGAACAAGGACGUUAGUAACUGAACGUCCCCUGACGGUAUCUAACCAGAAAGCCACGGCUAACUACGUG